This 534-nucleotide ribosomal RNA is filed under the name Hyphopichia homilentoma. RNAcentral describes it as "eukaryotic LSU rRNA". It matches the Rfam family "Eukaryotic large subunit ribosomal RNA", at positions 53 to 652 of the family's 3401-position model. The record is from RNAcentral. Lineage: Eukaryota; Fungi; Ascomycota; Pichiomycetes; Serinales; Debaryomycetaceae.
GAGGAAAAGAAACCAACCGGGAUUGCCUCAGUAACGGCGAGUGAAGCGGCAAAAGCUCAAAUUUGGAAUCGCUUUCGGGCGAGUUGUAAUUUGAAGACUGUCUCUUGCGUGAGUGUCUUGUCGAAGUUCCUUGGAACAGGACGUCGCAGAGGGUGAGAAUCCCGUGCGAUGAGACCACGAGCGUGUGUAGAGGCAAGUCGACGAGUCGAGUUGUUUGGGAAUGCAGCUCUAAGUGGGUGGUAAAUUCCAUCUAAAGCUAAAUACAGGCGAGAGACCGAUAGCGAACAAGUACAGUGAUGGAAAGAUGAAAAGAACUUUGAAAAGAGAGUGAAAAAGUACGUGAAAUUGUUGAAAGGGAAGGGCUUGAGAUCAGACUGGGUUAAACCGGCCAGCAUCAGGUGCUGCGGCGAGACAAGACUGUGGGAAAGUGGCCUCGCUUCGGUGAGGUGUUAUAGCCCGCAGAGAUGUUCGCCAGCGGCGCCUGAGGACUGCGCGAAAGCAAGGAUGCUGGCAUAAUGAUCUCCAGCCGCCCGU